RNAcentral lists this ribosomal RNA (90 nucleotides) under Aspidosperma excelsum. Its description in RNAcentral is "partial 26S ribosomal RNA". The record is from RNAcentral. Lineage: Eukaryota; Viridiplantae; Streptophyta; Magnoliopsida; Gentianales; Apocynaceae.
GUUCUCAACUUGAACGCUGUCGUGCAAGGCCUCGCUGCCGAAGCGACUGAGACCCUAAGCGGAGCCUCUUCAAGGAGCGCUCCCCACGUU